CUGUAUUAAAAUGAGUCAUUUCUGGAAAGUUGAGCAUUUGGGAGGCAGUAUUGUUUUUUAUUUUAUGUUACUUAUCACCAUUAUUAAUUCAAUGCAAUAUUUUUUAAACUGUUUUAUAUCAAAUCUUCACUUUUCUUUUCACUCUGAUCACAGAACCCAAAGCAUGAAAUCUGGAAGCUGGGAGAAUUUAUUGGGAAAAAGCUGGAUGGCAGCGUCCUGGGUAAAAUUGUCCAUCACACUUCGUUUGAUGUUAUGAAGCAAAAUCCCAUGGCGAACUGCUCGGCAGUCCCCGCGGAGGUCACGGACCGCUCGGUGUCUCCGUUCAUGAGGAAAGCUGGUUCUCUCUGCGCGUCACAACCUUGAAAGAACUGUCGAGGACCCCAGAGCCUGUGGGGAGGUUUCCAUGGAUAAGACAAGGUCCAUAAUAAAUGAUACUGGGGAAGGAGAAUUUAAGAGACCACAGACGAAAUGAAACCAACGUGUAGCCACAACUAGAGAGAGCAGUCGGAGACUGGAAGAAUCACUUCAUCGUGGCUCAGAACGAGAGGUUUGACGAAGACUACCAGCGGAGAAUGGCUGGGACAAGUCUAAUUUUCCACUUCCAGUUCUAGAGAGAGAAAGUGUUCAGUUUAUUACCCAACUCACUGGGCAGCAACCCAUAGCAGCUUCAUUCCCAGACCACACAGCAUUGGGCCCAGGUUCUCAGACCAGUUGUUCGUCAUGUUUGCUUUUGUUCACUCGACAAAGAAAAGAUCAGAGUUAGCAGUGAGGGGGGACGUGGGGAGUGGGAACGGUGGGGAGAAGGUUCAAUAAAAUACUAGUUACAAACAUGGCA
Myotis lucifugus (little brown bat) is the source of this 835-nucleotide long non-coding RNA. RefSeq lists it as uncharacterized. The transcript is spliced from 2 exons. The record is from RefSeq and is a predicted model, not a curated record. Lineage: Eukaryota; Metazoa; Chordata; Mammalia; Chiroptera; Vespertilionidae.